UUUAAUUCAAAAUUUAUAGUAAAGUAAAUUUGGAAGUGUUACCAAAAAUAAUAUGAUACAAAAUUAAAUAAAAAUAAUAUUUAAUAUUACACUCAAAAAAUAAUUCUACAAAAUAAUACGUUAAAAUAUCAGGAAAACAUAUUUUUUAAUGAAAAUGUAAUUGGCAAAAGUAUUUCGAAAAUAACUAUUUAUUUAAACAAAAUGACAAAAAAUACAUAAAAUGAAAAUAAAAUCAAUUUUUUAGAGAAACAAAUUCUAAUAAAAUUACAUGACAUCAUAGAUGACAUCAUCCACCUUCGCUCACACUAAUCAGUGAUGUUUUAGGGCCAUGGGAUUGACUCCUAGGUGUUAUGCCAGUGAUGGUACACCAUCUGCGUCGUCAUUGAAGGUCCCAUAUUCCGUGACAGUCUUUCGCGCGCCGCGUCAACAGGAGGAAUCUGUGACGGUGAUUCCGUGAUAAUGCUCGUGACGCUUAAAAAAUGACACAACAAGGUUUUCCAUGAUGUUUCUUGGAUAUUGCAUGAUGAUAGUAGCUCGUCAUAAUAUACCAGAUCCUUUGUAGUGUGUUGCCCCGCCAACUCAGACUAAGGUCCCGUUCGUUUUCCCUCCACUCCCGGAGCUGUGGAGCUGGAUGUGAACCACUCCAUUGAAAUGAGUGAUACCCUGCCCAGCUCCAGGAGCGGAGUCGAGGGAGCCGAGAGAAACCGAACGGUUCCUAAACAUCCACAAAUAGGUAGGAGUAGGAGUUCCACAUCGACUACUAGGCAGUUGGCUGGAACAAGAGACUAAGUUGCUCAUAUUGAUGGUAUAGUAGAUGGGAUAGGGUCUGCUAGCAGUGAAAAACUACAUAACUAUAAGGAGGGGGGUUGUGACAGCCCGAUGCCGACGUUCCAGAAGAUUCCCCUCUCUUUCCGUUUUCGUCGUGUGGCUUAUUUUAUUUGUCGUGUCUUCAUCACAUCAUUCGCAUCAUCUGCA
This 975-nucleotide long non-coding RNA is filed under the name Hordeum vulgare. RNAcentral describes it as "long non-coding RNA (HVUL_LNC008130)". Lineage: Eukaryota; Viridiplantae; Streptophyta; Magnoliopsida; Poales; Poaceae. The record is from RNAcentral.